CGAUAGGAGCUCGUGGGCCAAACUUGGAUAGCAUGCAAGCCAGCUAACUAGUUAGCCUUCCGUUUAUUCACUAUAAACUUAAGAAAGGCUUUCAAACGGAGUGGGGAGGAAAGACAACGUAUGAAGCCAAGUGGAAUUCUUUUCACUCUAUCACGUCCACGUCGAACAUGCCGUGGCUGACUAAACGCGGGGUGACGGUAAUGUAAUUACACGGUAAUGUAAUGGAACGUCACGUCUCAGCAAUGCUGUUUCAAUACUGACCUCCGGUGGCCAGAAUGCCAUACUACAUAGAACUUGUAUUUGUCAAUAUUGUUUCACUAAUAACGGAACACAGUCAACCACACCACACCAUAAUUUCUUCAUUAAUGUUGGAAGAAUUCGCGAUAGAAUGAGGGAGAAAUAUUCGAAGCGUGACGUAGCGAAGGACGACUGUAACAGAAUAAAAUGGCGGAUUGUGACUAAACAAGGUCACUGAGGACAAGGUGAUGGUCACCAAGUGUGCCAAGUCAGAAGGGUGGAGAGAUCAGCUGCAAUGUAGCCAAGUCGGACCUGAGGUCAUCCUGGCAUUGGGAGUUCACAUCUGUUCAAAUAAAUCCUCCACUGUGCCAUGUUUGGCCCGACAGCAGCAGUGAGCGGGCGCAGAUUACCAGUAGGGAUCUCCAGCGUGGACUGGAAUGCUGACCCUACUAUCCAUCUCCAUCAGAAGAAAUACGUUUGUUUGACUUGAGAUGUGAUUGUGUUUUUUCUUCCCCACACCUGCAGCUUCCUCACCCCCCCCCCCCCCCCCCCCCACACACACACACUGAUCAAUAGCUUUGCUUGGAGUAGCACCAAUGUUGCUGCUACUGCUCAUGUUUUCCAUUCUCCUCCGGUGUAGACCUUUUCUUACCAGCAUUUGAAUCCAGUAAAGUUGUGAAAUGAAACAGACGUGCUUCGUGCACCGACAGCUUUGGACGUUUCUUGCUAUUUGCUGUCACUAGUGCUGUGAUUGACUGUUGGCCUGCGUGGGAGUCGCGUGCUUAUCAGAGGCUACUCUUGGGGAAUUUGCAUCAAAUAAUAAACUGCUUCAAACUUGUGUUAUGAUACUAAUAUCUCCAUCUGGGGCCACCAUGAUGUAUUUGUCGAAUCCUUGUGGUUUUUAAUGCAAAUCCAAAGUCUUGAAAAGACCAUGGAACCUGCUUAAUUCAAGUCGGCUUUUGUCGCCAUUGAUUCCUUAAGUCGACAUCUGCAUGCAUGGUCGACCAUUUUUGUUGACAUACUUUCAGACCCUAAGGGGUCAUUUCUCUGAAAAUUGUUUAGUUUAUGUCAAUAUGUGUUGCUAUGCAGCGUACCAUAACUUCACUACUGUCUAUUUGCACAGCAUUAGAAACCGCACACAGUGACUAAAAGUUGGGAACCUGGAUUCUACACCCUUUUUUUUAAAGGUUGCUAGCAACCGGAAACAAAAAAGUCAAGUCAUACAGUAACAUUGCCACAACAGCUUUUAGAUAAUUAAUAUUGUAUGUGCAGGGGUGUCAGAUGGCAAUGUGGAGAUGUUGCAGGGGGCAUCCCACAUGGCCGAAGGCCCUGGACUGUGUGGUAAUGACAGGUAAUGACUUUUUCAACAGGACAGCUCAUGAUGGCCACCUCACUUUUUUGGACCAUCCUGCGUGUCCGCCUGAUCCGAAUCCCAAGAACAUUUGAGGAUGAAUGGCAAGGGAAGUUCCAGUCAGUGGAUGCCCUGUGUUAAGCCAUCUUCGCCACCUGGAGCAACAUUCCCACGGGCCUCCUGGAAACUCAAGCAGCAUGCCCAAUGGUUUGGGCAUG
Molecule: long non-coding RNA, 1806 nt
Organism: Doryrhamphus excisus (bluestripe pipefish)
Lineage: Eukaryota; Metazoa; Chordata; Actinopteri; Syngnathiformes; Syngnathidae
Source: RefSeq, a predicted model, not a curated record